This 74-nucleotide transfer RNA is filed under the name Bacillota bacterium. RNAcentral's name for it is "Firmicutes bacterium (hot springs metagenome) tRNA-Trp". It matches the Rfam family "tRNA". From Rfam's summary of the family: Transfer RNA (tRNA) molecules are approximately 80 nucleotides in length. Their secondary structure includes four short double-helical elements and three loops (D, anti-codon, and T loops). The record is from RNAcentral. Lineage: Bacteria; Bacillati; Bacillota.
AGGCCUGUAGCUCUAACUGGUAGAGCGCCGGUCUCCAAAACCGGGGGCUGUCGGUUCGAAUCCGGCCAGGCCUG